Molecule: transfer RNA, 72 nt
Filed under: Ictidomys tridecemlineatus (thirteen-lined ground squirrel)
Lineage: Eukaryota; Metazoa; Chordata; Mammalia; Rodentia; Sciuridae
Description: Spermophilus tridecemlineatus (thirteen-lined ground squirrel) tRNA
Rfam family: tRNA
About the family: Transfer RNA (tRNA) molecules are approximately 80 nucleotides in length.
Source: Rfam by way of RNAcentral
AGGAAUGUAGCUUAGUGGUAAAGUGCUUGCCUAGCAUGCAUGAGGCCCUGGAUUCAACUCCCAGUAGUACAA